Choloepus didactylus (southern two-toed sloth) is the source of this 5659-nucleotide long non-coding RNA. RefSeq lists it as uncharacterized. The record is from RefSeq and is a predicted model, not a curated record. NCBI's taxonomy places the organism in Eukaryota, Metazoa, Chordata, Mammalia, Pilosa, Megalonychidae. The transcript has 3 exons.
UAGAGGUGGAGUUGAUGGUAGGUGGAACUAAUUUGUUUAGCUUCAUUGUGUGUUCAAAAGAGUUUGGGGUGACAGAUUUUAAGUGUUUCCUAUGUGAGCUCUGCCUUUUGAGAUCAGUUGAACUGAAAAGCAUGUUGUGCUUGACUAGAAAAAGCUUGUGAGUUGUGACUUUGAAUAGACAGUGGAAUCUAAAUUGAAUUAGUGGCCAACUUUUAUCCUUACAACUAAGCCUCUUUAUAUUUCCUGUUUACAGAUUUUUGGAACUUCCCUUGCUGCCCAUUUAUAUAGUUUGGAUGAGUUAUAUCACCAGCAGCAGCCAAGAUAGGACUUUAUUUCUGAUAGUAUCCAUGUGUCAUGCUUAAAUUGUUAGGCAGUCCUAUAAAAAAACUGGAUAAAAUAGGGCCCCAGGAAGGGAAAGAAAAGUGAUCUGGUGUCAUGGCAAAUUCUAGGGAAUUGUCUGUUUUUAAGAGAGAGUUUUAAUACAAUUUUUUAUAUUCCUCAAACUUUAAUGUUCUUAGUCUGUAAGUGUAAGACUGAAUGCCUACUUUAAAGCUGGUAGUUUAAAGAGGGGGAAAGAGGUGAAGGGUUAACUUAAUCAUGCCCCUGUCUUUAUGAAUUGAUUCUUUGCAUUUUCUGGGAUUCUGAUCUGGAUGUUUGAGAUUUGGCAUAGAGGUUAAAAAGCUGAAAUUUUCUUAAUAAAACUGUAUGUCUUUCUGAGGCAAGACUAUGUCUCUCCUUGAUUGCAGUAAAAGUAAAAGACAUUCUUAAGGGGUCUUGAUUUUGCUGGGUGACUUUGGGCAAAUGAUGUCAUACUAUUGGGCCUGUUUCUUAAUUUAUAAAAUGAGGGGCAGCAUUAAACUCUAAAACUCUUAUAGUGGAUUAGUAGACUAUAAUUAAGAUUGCGUACAAACACACACCCACAUUGACAGCUCACUUGCUGCUCGUAUCAUUUGGGGAAUGUGACUGGCUUGGUUGCAUAGGUCUGUUCUUGGCAGUUUUAUCCACAUCGAGAGAAUCAUUCUGUGCAUUUUGACUCGUGAUUUUGUUAAUCCAAUAGUGACUUUUAGGAUUAUCUCUCCUGUAGUAAAAAUUAAGUUACUACCAUGAUGUUUGGAAUCUUUAAGAUGAGUAACAUGAACAAAUUUACAAUUGCUUUGCUUAUACAGAAAACUUGAUUUUUUUAAUCUACAUGUUCUGUAAUUUCAUUUGCUAAGAAAUUUAUCUUUCAUUUUCUUCCAGAGUGAAUACAUGAAUAUUUCCAUAGCUGUACUCUAUAUUUGAUCACUUUUUCUUUGUGGGUUUUAUCAGCUGAACAUAAAUAAAGUAAUUGUUCAUCUUCUACUUUAAAAAUGCUCCUUGACAUAAAGUCUUCUCACAUCAGUCCCACAUGUGACAGCCUACUCAGAUGAUUUAAGCUGCCCAGUGGUGCUUGUUUCUCAUUUGGAAAUCUAGCCAUUUAUGCAUCCUUAUGCACUGUUUUCCCUGUCGCAAGUUUUAGAUUAUAAGCUCCUUGAGAAAGGAGCUUAAUUUUUCCUUUGUAUCUCAUAGCACCCAGGACAGAGCUCUGUUAAUCUCUGAAUAGUUUAUAAAUGUUAUUGCUAUUAAGGAUUUUGGAUCAAAAUUAUUGGAUAGAAUGGAAUAAGCCUGUUUCUGGGAUAUCAAACUGUUUGGGGUCAGUGUGAUUAACUCAAAGACAUAGCAGAUUUAUUAAACUCUAAGCUUUGUUUCUGAAGUCAUUUUCUUUUGAUUUAAUCAUAAGUGGUUUAUUCACCUUAUAUUUUCUUUUACUUCAUACUUUGGUCUCAGGUUAUAAAUAGGGGAGCAUCUUUGUCAGUAGAUGUGAGUUGGAUAGCUGUGCAUGUGUUCCUUGUGUGUGUGUGUGAGAAAGACAGAGAGAGAGUCAGAGAGACAGAGAGUGUGAGAGCACCAGCACGUAAAAAUGUAUGAGACUUUGGGGGUACAUUUAAUGUUUAGAAUUUUAAAUUAUCUAAGUCUUGCUUAGCUCUCUAGUUAUGUGCAUUUAAUUCUGGAUCUAUUAUAGUUAACAUUCCAAAACAAUUUUUAAUCAGCAGUAAGCCUGGGGUCUUGGGAAGAUAAGGUCAUAGUUUUGUUUCCUUUCAUGUUUUCAUUUUAGCUUUAUUGUGUAUAUGCUAGACUGAAAUUAAAUUGUCAGGAUAAAUAAGUACUUUCAGUUAUAUAGCUAUAAUAUAGUACUAUAAUGUGUUAUGUAUAUACAUAUAUAUAUCAUGAUACUAUAACUACUUUCAGGAGCCAAUUUAUUGAUGGGAAGAAAUGAUAUAAGGGCUCUGAGAUACACCUCAACAACAUUUGGGAAUGAUUUAAUAUGUCUAAUAUCUGAAAAGCAUCAAAACAGAGACUGUACACUCAACGAUCAUAAGGCCUAAUGGUUGACAAUUAUAUUAUUGAAAGGCUCUAUGAAGAUUAGCUGUAAUAAUUAAGAGAAAAGGAGCCUGAAUUGGUGCAGAAAAGGGCCUGUGGUUUUGACUGUAAUUAGAAGAAUAUAACCAUAACUUUUGUCUUCUCAAUACAAAGAAUGAUAUUGCAUGCAGGGACAUGUCAUAUCUCUUCAUUGUAACCUUUAACUUGUCAUGGUAUGCACUGCUACGAUGGGUGAUGAUUUAAUAAAUAAUUUGUGAACGUAGAUGUUACUCUCAGAGUGUUUCUAAAUAUUACAAUUAGCUUUUAGGUGGAGUCAAUGUUUAAGACGAUUUAAAUUUGUCACUGCAUAAUUUAUAAAUAUCACCAUUGAAUAAAUACCAUCUUUAUCAUCUGUUAAUUUGGGUUACAGGGUGAUUGAGAGAGCUUGAGGGGGGAUUAAUUUAAAACUAAUCUCUGAAGAUAUGAAAUUUUUUUUUUGGUAUCAUUUCUUCUCAAACAAAAUGUUAUGACUGCUUGAAAGGCGUAAAUCAGUAACAGUCACUUUAUUUUCCAUUUAGUCAUUGCUCAUUAUCAGUUGGUAGUUGUGAGAACAAUUUAAUAAAGUUUGGGUAAUUUAGUUUUCAGUUUAUAUUCUCAACUGGCAAUUGGCCGAAAACUCCUAGCAGAAGACGUGAGCAUCCCCAUGUCAUUUUGUGAUUUGGCUACUGUCUGCUUGAUAUAGGAAGGCCCUGUCAAGAAAGACUAAUGGAGUGACUAACUAUCAAAAGGAAAUCAAUGGAAAAUCUUAAACUUCCAUCACAGAAGAUUAAAAAGAGGUUCCUCCUGCACCAAGAAAGAUCUGCAGAUCUUUUUCAGUGUUCUUGGAGGUGUGGGGUGUGAGAACUUGAUCAGUUUGUGUCAACCACCUUGUUCUCUAAAGGACGCAGCAGGCUGAAAGGUAUAGCAUGUGGCAUUGCUAUCAGCCCGCUAACAGUGGUGGGACACUCAUCCUUGAAGAACAGCUGAGAGCGAGAGAGCCUCAACUUAUAGCCAGAUGACUGACCCUGCAGUUUCUCCUUUGCAAGAGGACAUUUUUUAAAGGUUGUAUAUUUAGGAAUUUAUAAAAGCCAUACCCUGUUGAUACCUUUUUAUUUUAUUAGGGUAUUAGUAAAAAAACAAAUAUUAAAAAAGACUCCUAAUUUAUGAACACCUCAGUAAUGGUUUAUUACAUGUAUUUCUAUCUAAAAUUGCGAGAUUAUGUAUUUAGACUGUAGAAAAUAAACUGCAAUAGAAUCAUUAGUUCUACACAUAGUUUUGCAUGGCAUUGUACCACAUAAUAACUAGAAAUGAAGUUAAGUGAGUAUAAUCUAUGCUCACCAGAAGCUUAAAGCAGAGGACAUCAACAUAGACGUAUAAAAGGCAUACAAACAACUGAACAAGUAACAUAAAUACAUCAAUAACAUAAGUGCAUUUUGGGCUUCAUGGGUAAUGAGAAGUCCUUGUUUCUGCUGAAAUAGUCUAGCAAAAAGUACAUCUUUUUUCUAUACCCUAGGGACACUUUACACAGGAUGUGGAAUUUUAGGUGCUGUGUAGAUGACAAGAGAGAAAUUGCUUUUGAAAUGCUGCAGUGAAAAAGGAAGGCAAUGUGUGAUUGCAGAUAUAGAGGGGGAAAGGCUGGCUGCUGGCGUCGGGGCGGUGAGCUUGUGGUGGUGUAGAAAUAGAAGGCCGAGUCCAUCGAGCAAAGAGAUUGAACAGAUCUGUCAUGAGAGGAAACAGACAGACACACAUAAAGGGUGCUGGAGCGGAGGACAGAAAGCUGACGCAGGGUCCACUGCUGGGAGUUUUGGUGUUUUUUUCCUUUAGGGCAGAAAAUGUGAAUGAGACAAAAUACUGCCUCUAUAUAGGGAUGCCUAUAAAAAUUUUGACUGCCACUUAGAGUGAUACAUAGAUAGUCGGUGUUUUUGAAACAUUUGAUUACAGUUUAAUUAUGCUUGUAGAAUGAACAUUUUUAUGAUUGCAUAGUAAUUAAAAUAAACUUAAUAUUCACAGACAUAAAAGGGUGAAAUGCCUUGGUCUUUUCUGCCUUAAGACACCACUGUUGGCUGCCUGCUGUUGUCUCAAAGCUUGGCCACACACUUCUGCCCCCUCCACUUCCCUUGCAAAACCUUGCCUCUUCCAGACUUCCCUGUUCUCUUAUAGCCGAUACUGCAUCUCUCUGGGUGAGCACAUUGGGAGUCAAUUUUGAUGUCUGUCUUCUCAUUGCCAUUUGAAAUACUAACCUUGCCAUUUAAUAACUGCAUGAUCUUUUGCAAGUUGCUUGAUUUCUCUGAGCCUCAGUUUUUUUUUUUUUCCAUAUGUAACCUGGGGCUAAUAAAACUUAAUAUUGCCAUUUUCAGAAUUAAUGAACUAAUAUUUGAAAGCACCCAGAAUAGUUCAAGGUAUGCAGUAGUUUAGUUUUAGUGCAGCAAAAGUUACUUGUUUUUCCUCUCUUCUCAAGUGACAAUAAUAAGUCUACUGAAAAGGGAUAAUUUGGAGAAAAAAACUUACAUGAAUUGUGGUUUUGCCAAAAUUGUAGUUUGUAUUUAGACAGUGGAUUACGUAUGAAUUUGUUCUCAUGCAAUAGGCUAUCAGGUGUUUUUCUUUUACCUUAGUUGUGUAGUUUUAAAAAUUUAACUAGGGCAAAAUGAAAUGUAGUAUCCUUUUCCUACAGAGGACCUAUAAAAUCAUAAUUAAAGUAAGAAAAUCAGUGAGAGGAGUUGCUACAUGAAACAGGUUAUACUACUUAGUUCUAAUUUUAGUUAUGAAAUUAUUUGCUUCUCAAACUAAGGCAUUGUCUCUAAUUCUGUAUCUGCACAGAUGAUUUAGUGAUUUUAGAAUUAGAAGUUAAUAUUUUCACAUACCUACCUAGAAUAAUCAUCACAGAGUAUCUGAUUUUGAUCUCCCUGUCCUGUGUGACAUCAUAUCAGACACUUCAUAAUCUUUACGAUAAUCCUUUGGCAGUCAUGACUGACUCUCUCCCUUCCAUCUUCAAAGACCCCUCCGCAAAGUGAACAUCAGUCCUCACCUGGUUACAAACAGCAGUUUUGUCAACAAGACUUUCUGAUACGUUACAUAAGGAGCACACAUCUCAGAGAAUAGCACAGCAUUAUUCGUACUUUGUAAAGCUUAACUGUUGAUGAAAGAUACGAACUUAAACAUAGCGUAAGUGAGUCAGCCCCAGUGCAAACAAGGUUAUUGAGUAUCAGGAAUCACAGAUUUCAUCCAGGCUGGUUUUAUCAGU